CGCAGCCGACAGGAUUCGAACCUGUGCGGGGAAACCCCAUUGGAUUUCGAGUCCAACGCCUUAACCACUCGGCCACGACUGC
Molecule: transfer RNA, 82 nt
Filed under: Cordylochernes scorpioides
Lineage: Eukaryota; Metazoa; Arthropoda; Arachnida; Pseudoscorpiones; Chernetidae
Description: tRNA-Ser
Source: RNAcentral